AAGCCAGCAAAUUGAUCUGCUUGCUUGAGUGUUGGCAGAAACUAGAAGUAGCUGGCAGUAGUAAAGAAUGUCAUGUUAUGAGCCUUAACGCCAUUGGUGUUGUUAAGGUCCCUAAUAGAAGCUACAGGA
Small nucleolar RNA from Sorex araneus (European shrew), 129 nucleotides. Lineage: Eukaryota; Metazoa; Chordata; Mammalia; Eulipotyphla; Soricidae. The record is from Ensembl.